CCUACGGGAGGCAGCAGUGAGGAAUAUUGGUCAAUGGACGAGAGUCUGAACCAGCAACGUAGCGUGAAUGAUGACUGUCCUAUGGGUUGUAAACUUCUUUUUUAUGGGAGUAAAAUGUUCCACGUGCGUGAUUAUGUAUGUACCAUAUGAAUAAGGAUCGGCUAACUCCGUGCCAGCAGCCGCGGUAAUACGGAGGAAGCGAGCGUUAUCCGGAUUGAUUGGGUUGAAAGGGAGCGUAGGUGGAUUGUUAAGUCAGUUGUGAAAGUUUGCGGCUCAACCGUAGAAUUGCAGUUGAAACUGGCAGUCUUGAGUGCAGUAGAGGUGAGCGGAAUU
RNAcentral lists this ribosomal RNA (333 nucleotides) under uncultured bacterium. RNAcentral describes it as "partial 16S ribosomal RNA". It matches the Rfam family "Bacterial small subunit ribosomal RNA", at positions 338 to 668 of the family's 1533-position model. The record is from RNAcentral.